CCGCGGGAUUAGAGUUUGAUCCUGGCUCAGAUUGAACGCUGGCGGCAUGCCUUACACAUGCAAGUCGAACGGCAGCGCGGGGCAACCUGGCGGCGAGUGGCGAACGGGUGAGUAAUAUAUCGGAACGUACCCUGGAGUGGGGGAUAACGUAGCGAAAGUUACGCUAAUACCGCAUACGAUCUACGGAUGAAAGUGGGGGAUCGCAAGACCUCAUGCUCGUGGAGCGGCCGAUAUCUGAUUAGCUAGUUGGUGGGGUAAAGGCCUACCAAGGCAACGAUCAGUAGCUGGUCUGAGAGGACGACCAGCCACACUGGAACUGAGACACGGUCCAGACUCCUACGGGAGGCAGCAGUGGGGAAUUUUGGACAAUGGGGGCAACCCUGAUCCAGCAAUGCCGCGUGUGUGAAGAAGGCCUUCGGGUUGUAAAGCACUUUUGUCAGGAACGAAACGGUGGUUUCUAAUACAGAUCACUAAUGACGGUACCUGAAGAAUAAGCACCGGCUAACUACGUGCCAGCAGCCGCGGUAAUACGUAGGGUGCAAGCGUUAAUCGGAAUUACUGGGCGUAAAGCGUGCGCAGGCGGUUUUGUAAGUCUGAUGUGAAAUCCCCGGGCUCAACCUGGGAAUUGCAUUGGAGACUGCAAGGCUAGAAUCUGGCAGAGGGGGGUAGAAUUCCACGUGUAGCAGUGAAAUGCGUAGAGAUGUGGAGGAACACCGAUGGCGAAGGCAGCCCCCUGGGCUAAGAUUGACGCUCAUGCACGAAAGCGU
RNAcentral lists this ribosomal RNA (767 nucleotides) under uncultured beta proteobacterium. RNAcentral describes it as "bacterial SSU rRNA". It matches the Rfam family "Bacterial small subunit ribosomal RNA", at positions 1 to 762 of the family's 1533-position model. The record is from RNAcentral. Lineage: Bacteria; Pseudomonadati; Pseudomonadota; Betaproteobacteria.